This is a non-coding RNA of Podarcis lilfordi (Lilford's wall lizard), 65 nucleotides long. NCBI's taxonomy places the organism in Eukaryota, Metazoa, Chordata, Lepidosauria, Squamata, Lacertidae. The record is from the annotation of a GenBank genome assembly.
ACAGCUCAGUGGCAGAGCAUCCGCUCUGGAUGCAGAAGGUCCCAGGUCGAAUCCUGGCAUCUCUA